This 1298-nucleotide long non-coding RNA is filed under the name Homo sapiens (human). RNAcentral's name for it is "non-protein coding lnc-HHIP-3:1". Lineage: Eukaryota; Metazoa; Chordata; Mammalia; Primates; Hominidae. The record is from RNAcentral.
UUAUUUUGAUUUUUUUUGUGUCUUUCUUUUUUUUUUUCUUUGAGACAGAGGCUUGCUCUGUUGCCCAGGCUAGAGUGAAGUGGCAUGAUCUUGGCUCACUGCAAGCUCUGCCUCCCGGGAGAUGGGGUUUCACUGUGUUAGCCAGGACGAUCUCGAUCCUCUGACCUCGUGAUCCGCCUGCCUCAGCCUCCCAAAGUGAUGGGAUUACAGGCUUGAACAGGACUUCUUCAAGGAGAACUACAAACCACUGCUCAAGGAAAUAAGAGAGGACACAAAGUAAAGACUUUGUUCAUGUAUAUUUGAUGUUUUCAUUUAUCAGUAACAUUGGCUACUGAGUAUGUAGGCAUUCAUAGAAACAGACAGUGAGUCUUUUGUGCAAUUUUUCUGAAUGUUUCCCAUCUGCUGCAGAAAUGAAUAAGUCUUCAGGGACCAGAUGGGCGCAGUGGCUCACGCCUGUAAUCCCAGCACUUUGGGAGGCUGAGGUGGGUGAAUCACGAGGUCUGGAGUUUGAGACCAGCCUGUCCAAUAUGGGAUUAAAGACUUAAAUGUAAGACCUAACACCAUGAAAACCCUAGAAGAAAACCUAGGCAUACCAUUCAGGUCAUAGGCAUGGGCAAAGACUUCAUGAUUAAAACAUCAAAGGUCACUGAUCACAGAUCACCAUAACAGAUAUAAUCAUAAUCAACGAGUUUAAAAUAUUGUGAGAAUUACCAAAAUGUGAGACAGAGACACAAAGCGAGCACAUACUGUUGGAAAAAUAGUGCUGGUAGACUUGCUCAAUAGACACAGGGUUGCCACAAACCUUCAGUCUGUAAAAAGCGUAACGUUUGUGAGAUGCAAUAAACAAAGCCCAAUAAAAUGAGCUAUGCAUGUACAGUGUUUUAUUCUGAGACUUUUAUCUUUCUGGGGCUGUACCAUGGGGAAGGAUAACAGUCUCUUUUUCUCCCAGAUUCCACAGACAGAUCUGAGUUUAUUGUCCAUGAGGACUUGCUCACAGACAGGAACAAUUCCUAUUACUGCAUAACAAAUUAAGUUUAAAAUUUAGUAACUUAAACAACCAUUUAUUAAUUUCAUAGAAUUUAGUGGGUCAAGAAUUUGGACAGGCAUAACAGGCAUACUGGCUCUGCUUGAUGGUGACUGGUGUCUCGGCUGGGGACACUCAAUGGCUGGAGGUGACUCAAUGGCUUUGUGCUGGAAUCAUCUGAAGACUUGUCAAUUCACAUGUCUGGAGUCUGGGUUGGGAUGAGUUCAAGAGUAUGACUGCUGACCAGUUCUCCUGCUGUGAUCUUUCCAUCUGG